RNAcentral lists this unclassified non-coding RNA (1503 nucleotides) under Leishmania donovani. RNAcentral's name for it is "gene:unknown". The stretch from base 382 to 448 matches the Rfam family "Trypanosomatid snoRNA TB9Cs3H1". Lineage: Eukaryota; Euglenozoa; Kinetoplastea; Trypanosomatida; Trypanosomatidae. The record is from RNAcentral.
UGUACACUUUUUUGAAAGUUAUGUAGCCGGAGCUGUGCCGUGCCCUGAUAGCGCCGGAAUACCAGACAUUGACUGCUGCUGCUUCACCAGUCGGGGACACACUCCUGCGAGUCGUGUGCACUCGUAGCCCUUCUCCUUUCAUCAGAGCACUUUGACUUUCGGCAUGAAUGAAAGAUGGAGGAGAUGCCAAGGUGGGGGAGAGGGGGGGUAUAGCGUUGAGUAAAGAGCGAGUCAGCAUGUGGGCGGGUGAGCGGGCGCAUGCAGAGAGGAGUUCUUGCCGACGGGCGUUGCUUAACUAUCUCUUUCGAUCCUUCUUUGAGGCAGAGAGACCGGGAAGGGCUGUUGUCUUGCAGGGGAGACAUAAGCGAAAAAUGCAUAUGCAGCCGAAUUAAACACGGAUCUGCGAGACGUACUUCAGCUUUCGUGAGAUCCGCCAGUGUUUUGCAAGAUGAGGGAAGCCGCUUACUGUACGGGGAAGGACAAGGCGAAGAGGAGGGGCUGCGAGGUAAUGGCGCCGCGGAAAAGAGUCUUGAGCUUGCACCCCAUGUUCGGGUGUUUGCCUGUGAGUAGUGUGUGUGCGUAUGAAGGAGGAGGGGGAGUAGGUACGCACUUCACUCUCGCCCUGGAGUAAGCCUCCCAAACCGACGCGGCGCGUUUUCGUUUCAGCCCUUGCGAGUUUAAGAAAAUUGGCGUGUACCGUGGGUAUUCGCGUGCGGGAAUGCUGCUGCUGCUGCUGUCGUUGAUGCGAGUGCUGCAAAUGCGCAGAAAAGGGCACGAGAGCGAGCUGAUGAUGAACAAACUUCGUAGGGUAAAAUCUGAUCAUUCCGACCAUGACGUUAUGGAAGUACUGCACCGAAAGUGCAGCCCCGCGCCCACAUCGCCUCCUUUCGGAGGCGGUAUGCUGGGUGAGCGUGGUGCCGUCUGAUAGCCGCCGUGUAGUAACGUAUCGCUUGUGAGUGCCGUGGAUGGAUUGUGGAUAGUGCCGGAAGUGGUAGGCUGAGGGAAAGAGGCCUGGCGACGGGGCUUGUCGCCGCGGAGCCCAACACGCUGUUGGCUAGAGCUGCUGCCGCUGUUGUCAUCGAGCGUAGCUCAUCGCUUGCGGCCACCCGUGACAAGGAUGGCGGGGAGAGGGCUACGAUGCGCCGGCCAAAAGAGAUACGAUUUCUCUUUGUUUUCGCGGGUGACGCGCUUAUUGCAUGCUAGUCGCAGCGCUCGACUGUGAAUACCCCUUCCUCCCCAACAAAAACGUACACACAAACACACAAGCGAAGCAAGUAAAAUAAGUAAAAUACUUAUCUGUGUCGUCCAUGUGGCCUAUCAUCAACUGAUAGAAUCAGCAGGUCUUCACGCACUGUAAGAGCCCGCGCCGAUGCCCGCCAUCACUGCCAUUAGCGUGGACUGGCUGACCUGCUUAUCUUGCUCGCUCGCUCUCCACCGCGCACUCGCCCAUGGUGGUUCCCUCCCUCUUUCACGCUUCUUCUGGCACCUCUCCACGGCACACAG